RNAcentral lists this ribosomal RNA (468 nucleotides) under uncultured bacterium. RNAcentral describes it as "partial 16S ribosomal RNA". It matches the Rfam family "Bacterial small subunit ribosomal RNA", at positions 28 to 507 of the family's 1533-position model. The record is from RNAcentral.
GACGAACGCUGGCGGCGUGCUUAACACAUGCAAGUCGAACGGAAAGGCCCUGCUUUUGUGGGGUGCUCGAGUGGCGAACGGGUGAGUAACACGUGAGUAACCUGCCCUUGACUUUGGGAUAACUUCAGGAAACUGGGGCUAAUACCGGAUAGGAGCUCCUGCUGCAUGGUGGGGGUUGGAAAGUUUCGGCGGUUGGGGAUGGACUGGCGGCUUAUCAGCUUGUUGGUGGGGUAGUGGCUUACCAAGGCUUUGACGGGUAGCCGGCCUGAGAGGGUGACCGGCCACAUUGGGACUGAGAGACGGCCCAGACGCCUACGGGAGGCAGCAGGGGGGAAUAUUGCACAAUGGGCGGAAGCCUGAGGCAGCAACGCCGCGUGCGGGAUGACGUCCUUCGGGUUGUAAACCGCCUUCGCCGGUGACGAAGCGGGAGUGACGGUAAUGGGUAAAGAAGCACCGGCUAACUACGUG